GACAGAGGGUGCAAACGUUGUUCGGAAUUAUUGGGCGUAAAGGGCGCGUAGGCGGUGCGGUAAGUCACCUGUGAAAUCUCCUGGCUCAACUGGGAGCUUGCAGGCGAAACUGCCGUGCUGGAGUGUGGGAGAGGUGAGUGGAAUUCCCGGUGUAGAGGUGAAAUUCGUAGAUAUCGGGAGGAACACCAGUGGCGAAGGCGGCUUACUGGACAGGUCCUGACACUGAGACGCGAAAGCGUGGGUAGCAAACAGG
This 253-nucleotide ribosomal RNA is filed under the name uncultured bacterium. RNAcentral's name for it is "partial 16S ribosomal RNA". It matches the Rfam family "Bacterial small subunit ribosomal RNA", at positions 524 to 776 of the family's 1533-position model. The record is from RNAcentral.